UCUACGGGAGGCAGCAGUGGGGGAUAUUGCACAAUGGGGGCAACCCUGAUGCAGCGACGCCGCGUGAGCGAUGGAGUACUUCGGUAUGUAAAGCUCUGUCAGCAGGGAAGAGAAUGACGGUACCUGACCAAGAAGCCCCGGCUAAAUACGUGCCAGCAGCCGCGGUAAUACGUAUGGGGCAAGCGUUAUCCGGAUUUACUGGGUGUAAAGGGAGCGUAGGCGGCAGGGCAAGCCUGAUGUGAAAGCCCGGGGCCCAACCCCGGGACUGCAUUGGGAACUGCCCCGCUCGAGUGCCGGAGGGGCAGGCGGAAUUCCUAGUGUAGCGGUGAAAUGCGUAGAUAUUAGGAGGAACACCAGUGGCGAAGGCGGCCUGCUGGACGGUGUACUGACGCUGAGGCUCGAAAGCGUGGGGAGCAAACAGGAUUAGAUACCCCUGUAGUC
This 441-nucleotide ribosomal RNA is filed under the name uncultured bacterium. Its description in RNAcentral is "partial 16S ribosomal RNA". It matches the Rfam family "Bacterial small subunit ribosomal RNA", at positions 338 to 795 of the family's 1533-position model. The record is from RNAcentral.